Lepidothrix coronata (blue-crowned manakin) is the source of this 287-nucleotide long non-coding RNA. RefSeq lists it as uncharacterized. The transcript is spliced from 3 exons. The record is from RefSeq and is a predicted model, not a curated record. NCBI's taxonomy places the organism in Eukaryota, Metazoa, Chordata, Aves, Passeriformes, Pipridae.
CAAAGAUUUAACCACAAACCUCCACAGAGUCUGAUGGAUGAGAAGUGAUCGCUCACCCCUCGGACAGGCAGGGACCAAAAGCACUGAGUUCCCACAGGUGACCUUCCCCACAUUUACCUCUUUUGCAGAAGACACUGCAGUUUCAAGGAGCCAGCCCAUGAGGACUUACCAUUCACUAAAUAUUGUGUCUGCAUGAUGAAGGCACUGCAUAAAAACACCAGGGGAUGGAUGCAAACAAUGUGCUGGUGAGAGUGACAAUAAAACAGAGAUGACAGCAUAAAGAGAGA